This 502-nucleotide ribosomal RNA is filed under the name uncultured bacterium. RNAcentral's name for it is "partial 16S ribosomal RNA". It matches the Rfam family "Bacterial small subunit ribosomal RNA", at positions 28 to 507 of the family's 1533-position model. The record is from RNAcentral.
GAUUAACGCUGGCGGCGUGCCUAACACAUGCAAGUCGAGCGGCAGCGAGUUUUACACUGAAUUCUGGAAGCUUCUAGUUGAAAGAGAAGAUUUAUUCAAGAAUUUUGUGUAAAAUGUCGGCGAGCGGCGGACGGCUGAGUAACGCGUGGGAACGUACCCCAAAGUGAGGGAUAACGCAUCGAAAGGUGUGCUAAUACCGCAUAUGGUCUUCGGAUUAAAGCCUUCGGGCGCUUUGGGAACGGCCUGCGUAAGAUUAGAUAGUUGGUGGGGUAAUGGCCUACCAAGUCGACGAUCUGUAACUGGUUUGAGAGGAUGAUCAGUCAGACUGGAACUGAGACACGGUCCAGACUCCUACGGGAGGCAGCAGUGAGGAAUCUUCCACAAUGGGCGAAAGCCUGAUGGAGCAACGCCGCGUGCAGGAUGAAGGCCUUCGGGUUGUAAACUGCUUUUAUAAGUGAGGAUUAUGACAGUAACUUAUGAAUAAGGAUCGGCUAACUACGUG